AAAAGAGGCAGUGCCGGCCGGCCUCGUCUGUCCUCCGGGGCACGAGUGCUGCGUUGGAGCAUACAUGCUGGGACCCGAAAGAUGGUGAACUAUGCCUGGGCAGGUUGAAGUCAGAGGAAACUCUGAUGGAGGACCGUAGCGAUACUGACGUGCAAAUCGUUCGUCGGAUCUGGGUAUUGGGGCGAAAGACUAAUCGAACCAUCUAGUAGCUGGUUCCCUCCGAAAUUUCCCUCAGGAUAGCUGGAGCUCGUGAUACGGAGUCUUAUCGGGUAAAGCGAAUGAUUAGAGGUAACGGGGAUGCAAUGUUCUCGACCUAUUCUCAAACUUUUAAUAGGUAAGAAGCGGGCGUUGCUUGUGUGAACGCUUCUCGCUUUGGAUCCAGAGCUCCAAGUGGGCCACUUCUGGUAAGCAGGACUGGCGAUGCGGGAUGAACCGAUAGCGGCGGUUAAAGUGUCCAAGUGUUUGCUCAUCAGAUACCAAAAAGGGUGUUGGUUCAUAUAGACAGCACGGCGGUGGCCAUGGAAGUCGGAACCCGCUAAGAAGUGUGUAACAACUUAUCGCGCCGAAUGAACUAGCCCCGAAAAUGGAUGACGCUCAAGCAAACCACUUAGACCGCGCCAUGGGGGUGAUUAUUAUUGUAAGAAGAAUACU
This 651-nucleotide non-coding RNA is filed under the name Spirochaeta lutea. Its description in RNAcentral is "Eukaryotic large subunit ribosomal RNA". It matches the Rfam family "Eukaryotic large subunit ribosomal RNA", at positions 748 to 1373 of the family's 3401-position model. The record is from Rfam by way of RNAcentral. Lineage: Bacteria; Pseudomonadati; Spirochaetota; Spirochaetia; Spirochaetales; Spirochaetaceae.